GGACUACCGGGGUUUCUAAUCCUGUUUGCUCCCCUAGCUUUCGUUCCUCAGCGUCAGUUGUGGUCCAGUGCGCCGCUUUCGCCACGGGUGUUCCUGCAGAUAUCUACGCAUUUCACCGCUACACCUGCAAUUCCACGCACCUCUCCCACACUCAAGCACAGCAGUUUUGGAAGCAGCCUCUGGGUUGAGCCCAGAGAUUUCACUCCCAACUUGCCGCACCGCCUACGAACCCUUUACACCCAGUAAUUCCGAACAACGCUGGCCCCCUACGUCUUACCGCGGCGGCUGGCAC
This 292-nucleotide ribosomal RNA is filed under the name uncultured Acidobacteriota bacterium. RNAcentral describes it as "uncultured Acidobacteria bacterium partial 16S ribosomal RNA". The record is from RNAcentral. Lineage: Bacteria; Pseudomonadati; Acidobacteriota.